CCGACUGGGAUCAUCGGCUCACCAAGAAUCUGAACAACUCCAGUCUCUAAAAGGAAACUAAAUGAAGACGUUUCUCACAAUAAUCUGAUUUACUGCUUCUCUUCCUGAUGUGUGGACAAAUUAUCAGACGAAUGCAGUGAUUUAUAAGCUACAAAUACGUGAAAUUAGACGCUUACAGGAGUAGAAUUAAAGCAUCUUUAUUUACUUUUACUCCAGAUUACAGCUUCAGGUGAACGUUAAGGCGUCUGAAGUCAUUAACUGUGUUCCUGCGACGUUUGGAAGCUGGAAGGCUUUAAAUAGAGAAACGAGGUGGAAACAGGCCCAGAGCAGCGACGGCAGAAAGGGGUUAGACCCUGAUGGAUCUGAUCCUGGGUCAGUCUCUCAUCCAGCUGCAGAAACAAUCACGACAAGGACGGCGUCCUCGUUUAGCUGCAGAGACGAAUCACGUCCACGGCCUCCAUUAGACGCUGGAGGCCUGAGGAGACCAGAGACCUCUGCAGCAAGGCCUCGACUCGAAGGUCAAACCUCAGCAGAAUCCAGACUGACCUGAGUCCAUCAUGAACCAGAGUCCUGAAUAGACAAGUCCAGCAGGAACCGGAGUCCUGAAGAGACGAGUCCACGUCACAAUGUGUUCAUCGACACACAAAAGAGUGAUAUUAGGCAAAUUUGGGACACAAUGAUCUAAUUAUAUCUGGACCAGGACAGCUGGAUGUAGGCUAACUGUCACCACAGCCGUUAAUAAUGGAGGGCAGCCGAGUGCACGGAGCUGGAAGGAACGGGUUCACAGGACCAGGACACCAGGUCACCAUGAGACCAGGAGACCUGAAGACCAGGAGACCUGACGACCUAAAGACCAGGAUACCACGAGACCUGAAGACCUGAAAACCUAAACACCAGAAGACACUGUAAACCAGAAAACCUAAAGACCAGAAGACCUUAAGACCUGAAGACCCAGAAAACCUAAAGACUUGAAGACCUGAAGACCCUGUAAACCAGAAAACCUGAAGAUCUAAAGACCUGAAGACCUGAAGGCCUUAAGCCCAGGAGACCUGGAGGCCAGAAGACCUGAAGAACUAAAGACCUGAAGACCCUGUAAACCAGAAAACCUAAAGACCAGGAGACCUGAAGAACUUGUAAACAAGAAGACCUGAAGACCUAAAGAACUGAAGACCUGAAGACAUGAAGAACUGAAGACCUAAAGACCAGAAGACCCUGUAAGCCAGAAAACCUAAAGACGAGAAAACCUGAAGACCUAAACACCAGAAGACCCUGUAAACCAGAAAAUCUAGAGACCUGAAGACUUUAAGACCAGGAGACCUGAAGACCUUAAGACCAGGAGACCUGAAGAACUUGUAAACAAGAAGACCUGAAGACCAGAAGACUUGAAGACCUGAAGACCUGAAGGCCCUGACAACCUGAAGACCUAAACACCAGAAGACCCUGUAAACCAGAAAACCUAAAGACCAGAAGACCAGAAGACUUGAGUCUGACGCAAACACCCAGUAGGUCGGGAUAAAGUUUAAUCAUAAACUCACAAAGAAUCAGCUGGAAUCAGUAAAAAUCCUCCCUGAGCUCAGAUAAAAGAUGAGGUGGGCCUGAAAGAGCCACAGAUUUUUGAAAAUAUUUUAGAUGAUUGAUAAACGUUCAGGGUUUUUCCGCCAAAUUUGAAUUUUCAGCGCCCUGCUGAUUGGUUUCAGGCAGCUCUAUAAUUGAGAAUUUCUUGAAAAAUUAAGUUUUUCACCAGUUUUGUUAAUCGACGCUUUUCUUUACUUAAACAUAACGGACGUCUUCGUUCAUCAAAAGCUGGGAUCUCGAGUUGGUCGGAUAAAUGUCACGAAUAGCAGCGAAAAACACCAGAGAUAAAUGUUGAAAAGGUUCUCUUCUAACUUAACCUAUAAAACAUAAAUAAAGACAUUUCUGUUCUCUGAAAGAACAUGUUGGUUUAUCCCUGAAUGGUGCAAAUUUCUGGUAUGGCAGCGUUUUUAUUCAUCUAUAAUGCAGAAGACAGUCAGAAAAUGUGUUGUAGAUCAGUUGUAGUAUCUGUUUGAUCCACCAGGUGGCACCCCUGACUGUUUACUACUGUAGCGACCAGAGGAGGCUCAUUAAGACUACAGGUAGUUCAUGCUGGCAAGCAGAGAGCAUUGUGGGAGUUCAGGUAGUAAAGGGCCACCAAGACAGAAACUAUUGUGAUGGUUAAUGGAUGCCAACAAGCUUAAACAUUAUGGGAGGAGCUUUAGUCUACCGUGUUAUUAAAUAAUAAAUUAUUGGUCGAUAAAACUGCAGAUUAUUGGUUAAUUGUUUAAAGUUUUUAUCUCUAAUUUGGGUUCAAAAACCUUCGUAAUGAGAAGGACCGGUGUAACUAGGAAACUCUGUACGACGAUGUUUUUUGAGCUAAAAUAAACAAACAGUUUAUGCUUUGAUCUCAAAUUCAAACAAUAAAAAUCUAUUAAAAAAAAAAAAAA
This is a long non-coding RNA of Amphiprion ocellaris (clown anemonefish), 2462 nucleotides long. RefSeq lists it as uncharacterized. The record is from RefSeq and is a predicted model, not a curated record. Lineage: Eukaryota; Metazoa; Chordata; Actinopteri; Pomacentridae. The transcript is spliced from 2 exons.